This 498-nucleotide ribosomal RNA is filed under the name uncultured bacterium. RNAcentral describes it as "bacterial SSU rRNA". It matches the Rfam family "Bacterial small subunit ribosomal RNA", at positions 29 to 507 of the family's 1533-position model. The record is from RNAcentral.
AACGAACGGUGGCGGCGUGGAUAAGACAUGCAAGUCGAACGGGACCUUCAGUGUAGCAAUACAUUGAAAGUUCAGUGGCGUAAGGGUGCGUAACACGUGGGAAAUCUGCCGAGAAGUGGGGGAUAGCUCGCCGAAAGGCGAAUUAAUACCGCAUGUGGUCAGCGAGGACAUCCUCGCGAAACCAAAGCCGGGGCAACCUGGCGCUUCUUGAUGAUCCCGCGGCCUAUCAGCUAGUUGGCGGGGUAAAAGCCCACCAAGGCUAUGACGGGUAGCUGGUCUGAGAGGACGACCAGCCACACUGGAACUGAGACACGGUCCAGACACCUACGGGUGGCAGCAGUCGAGAAUUUUUCUCAAUGGGGGAAACCCUGAAGGAGCGACGCCGCGUGGAGGAUGAAGGUCUUCGGAUUGUAAACUCCUGUCAUUAGGGAACAAAUCUUCCAAGUAACUACUGGAAGUCUGAUAGUACCUGAAGAGGAAGGGACGGCUAACUCUGUG